This 466-nucleotide ribosomal RNA is filed under the name uncultured bacterium. RNAcentral's name for it is "partial 16S ribosomal RNA". It matches the Rfam family "Bacterial small subunit ribosomal RNA", at positions 28 to 523 of the family's 1533-position model. The record is from RNAcentral.
GAUGAACGCUGGCGGCGUGCCUAACACAUGCAAGUCGAGCGAACCCUUCGGGGUGAGCGGCGGACGGGUGAGUAACGCGUGGGUAACCUGCCCUAUACACACGGAUAACGUACCGAAAGGUACGCUAAUACGGGAUAAAGUUGUUGGAUGGCAUCUUCUAACAAUCAAAGCUCCGGCGGUAUAGGAUGGACCCGCGUCUGAUUAGCUAGUUGGUGAGGUAAUGGCUCACCAAGGCGACGAUCAGUAGCCGACCUGAGAGGGUGAUCGGCCACACUGGAACUGAGACACGGUCCAGACUCCUACGGGAGGCAGCAGUGGGGAAUAUUGCACAAUCGGCGAAAGCCUGAUGCAGCAACGCCGCGUAAGCGAUGAAGGUCUUCGGAUCGUAAAGCUCUGUCCUCAAGGAAGAUAAUGACGGUACUUGAGGAGGAAGCCCCGGCUAACUACGUGCCAGCCGCCGCAGUAA